Molecule: ribosomal RNA, 447 nt
Filed under: uncultured bacterium
Lineage: Bacteria
Description: partial 16S ribosomal RNA
Rfam family: Bacterial small subunit ribosomal RNA
Source: RNAcentral
AGCGAACGCUGGCGGCAGGCCUAACACAUGCAAGUCGAGCGCCCCGCAAGGGGAGCGGCAGACGGGAGAGUAACACGUGGGAACGUACCCUUUGGUUCGGAACAACCCAGGGAAACUCGGGCUAAUACCGGAUAAGCCCUUACGGGGAAAGAUUCAUCGCCGAGGGAUCGGCCCGCGUCUGAUUAGCUAGUUGGUGGGGUAACGGCCCACCAAGGCGACGAUCAGUAGCUGGUCUGAGAGGAUGAUCAGCCUCACUGGGACUGAGACACGGCCCAGACUCCUACGGGAGGCAGCAGUGGGGAAUAUUGGACAAUGGGCGCAAGCCUGAUCCAGCCAUGCCGCGUGGGUGAUGAAGGCCCUAGGGUUGUAAAGCCCUUUCGGCGGGGAAGAUAAUGACGGUACCCGCAGAAGAAGCCCCGGCUAACUUCGUGCCAGCCGCCGCGGUAA